UGACCCUUGGAUACCUGCUCA
This 21-nucleotide non-coding RNA is filed under the name Arabidopsis thaliana (thale cress). The record is from RNAcentral. Lineage: Eukaryota; Viridiplantae; Streptophyta; Magnoliopsida; Brassicales; Brassicaceae.